ACUGCCCCUGCUACAGUGGGCGCACCGGUCGCACGCUAGCGAGCGCAGGAGACGCCACGGCCGCUCUACUGCGAGAAGCACGCACAGAAUCCAACCGAAGUGAACCGUUUCAGCCCCAUUCGCCCACUGUGGCCGGUGUUUACGUCCACAUCCGACCCGUCCACUCGCAGCUCUGCGGCCGCAAGGCACAUUUCAACGUGACUGGACCCGAGGGAGCGACGCCGUGCUGUCGCUGCCUGCAUUGUUUUCAUAAGGAGGGGGAGGAGGACACGUUUGCUUCACUAGUGAAAGCGCUGCUGGUACAGACGAAUGAUCCGCUGAAAGGCUUCACAGUAACAUAUGACAUGCAAAGACCCCAGGAUGUGGAGGUGCAGCACAUUUUAGUCCGUGCUCUCUGGGACCUUUGACCUCUGAAUGUUAUAAUAAGGCACCGUGGGCUGCUCCAUUAGAGCCAGUUAGACGUCACAGUGGCUGGUGGAGGUCAAUGACAGACGCUUUUAUCCUCGACGGUGAUCAUCUGGACAUAAACAGUGAUAGUACCGCGUCCACCAGCGGCAGCGCCUCAUGACGUCAGGGUGCUGAACCACAUCCACAUGUUGCGCUGUGAUGUCGCGGUUUGAAGUGUUGGAUUUCCUCAUGCUCAGAUCUAGUCAGUCAGGUCGCCCAGGUAAUGCCCUGCUUUGCCCAAUAGUACAGACUGUUCCAGUCGCUGUUUGUUGCGGCCAAAGGUUGCAGGAGGUCACCAACAAGAAGCUCAUCUGGGUUUCAGCAGAAAAGAGGGAAAUGAAGGUCUCGUGAUGGUCGACGCGCUCAUUCAGAGGCAGCGAACACGGACUUCUUGUAAUUUGGAGCUAAAAAAAAUAUCUGUUUUUCUGACAUUCCUCCAGGGCUUGAGUCACAACAAAGGGGCCGGACUCCUUACAAAUUAGAACACGAUGUCCAUCUUAUGCAGACACGAGCUUUGAAGUUCUAAAAUUAGCCUAUUAACACUGUUAUUUUGUCCGAAAAGCAUUUCCUUUCCGUCCGUGUGAAACAGAUUAAGAUUAUAUUUUUUUCCAUUAACAGAUUUUGUUUGUGGGAGUUUUCCCGAACGUCACGAGGCGUUUGAUGACCCGUCAAAACCUGUAGAUCAUAAAUCUGAGAAAAGGAGAUGCCUCCUUGAGCGUCUCUCCUCGGGCUGAGUCCGUUAAAAUAAUCACGGACCAGAACGCGGGCACCUGAAAUAAGACGCCGUGCCCAUGUUUUCAUGUCAUAACAGGAAAAGCGCGGCUGUGGAUGACAACGUCCAACCGAGCUGCAUUCCUCGUAGGUCACCUAGUUUCCUGCGGCUGCCAGUCCUGGCUGGCGCAGCUCAGCGAGCCACUUACUGGAACUGAGUCUGUCAACCACACCACCUCCACCUGUGCUGCUCCUGCUACGAGGCCGCGCCUCCCCGACCAGCUCACACCAUGGAAGCUUCAAUUCAAACAGCCCCAAAAUGCUUCGGAUGCUUGACAUAACUUAUGGCGCACGACUUAAAAAGGAUCCAUCUACGGCUAAUUGAAUCCAGACGGGACCACUUCCUGCUUCCUUAGUGCGCGUAUUAAUGGUUGGAAACGAAGCCCGGUACCACUGGGCCUGUCUGGUCCUAGUCAGAACCAGCUGAGAGCAUAAUAUUCACUGCAGCAGAUUUGCUUCGUACUCGCUCAUAUGUUCAUUGAGUCUAUUCCCUCCACACACACACACACACACACACACACACACACACACACACACACACACACACACACACACACACACACACACACACACACACACACACACACACAGAC
Molecule: long non-coding RNA, 1811 nt
Organism: Betta splendens (Siamese fighting fish)
Lineage: Eukaryota; Metazoa; Chordata; Actinopteri; Anabantiformes; Osphronemidae
Exons: 2
Source: RefSeq, a predicted model, not a curated record